UAUGGGCCUGCCCCUGCUGGUGAGGUGGCCACAACGGUGUGUGGGAAUGGGAUGCUCUGUGACCCAGGUGGUGUGGGCUGAGUCCCGGGAGCCAAAGGGCAGAGGCAGGAUCAGCCACGGGAUUCCAGCCUUGGUCUUCCGGGGUAAGCUCCACAAAGGCGGGAAAGUCUGUCCCUGUCUAGGACAGUGGCUGGCACACGAGGGCCGUCGGUAAACUCUUGGAUGAACCAGGCUCAGAGACACACAGUGCUCAAGGUCACACAGCGAGUCAGUGAGGGAGGGGAUGUGAAACCAGGGCCAAGGCUGCAGCGGACAGCAAAUCCAAAGAAGUGUUCCACUCAAUUCUGGGCUGACAUGCAGUUGGGGAGAUAGGAGAAACUGAUAAUGCAUGAACAUUUAACAUGAUGGCAGGUGUCAUAGAUGCCGUGAGAGAAAACAAAGCAAGACGGGGGCUUACAGGAAGCUGGGGCUCUUAGGGAGGUCAGAUUGGGUGCCCCACACUUCCACAGGGAACUCCCAACCCCAGGCUCUGGGGAAGGAGCAGACACACACCAAUGUGCGAAUGCAGCUGCAACACUCGCUGGAAGGAGAGGUGACACUGUCUGGGGCGUCUGGGAAGGCUGGUCAGAAGAGGUGACGCCUUGGCAGGGCUUGGAGAGGGAGGUUCCAGCAGGGUCGGCCUCACACACAUGAAGGGUCUUGGAUGUCGACACUGGACAUCCUUCCCCAGGGAGGUAGUUCAUUCAGUCAUGGAACAUUUCAAGGUGGGAAGAAGGUGUUCAUCACAUGGCUAUGAUCAUGUACCCAUUGCAGACCACCCUGUCCUGGGGGCAUGAGGAGUUCAUCUCCUAAAUCAGUGGUUCUCAACAGGGACAGUCCUCCCUCCCCAGGGGACAUUUGGCAAUGACUGGAGGAGUUGCUACUGGCAUCUCCUGGGUGGAGGCCAGGCAGGGCUGCUGCUGAACAUCCCUGUCUAGUGCACAGGACAGCCUCCACCACAAAGAAUCAUCCAGCCCCAAAUGUCAACAGCACCGAGGUUGAGAACUCUGUUCUAAGCCCUGAAAUUAUCAUUUGACAAGCGCAAUUAUAAUGCAAUGUCUUUUUGAUGCACCAAAGGCAUUAAUGUCUUCAAUGUGAAUAUUUAAAACACACAGGUGACCUGUUUGGUGAUUUAUUUCUUAAUAAAGCAGGAGCCUUGUAACAUGGGAGUGGUUCCAUGCAAAGGGAACAGCAUGCACCAGGCUCAGUGGCUCAGUGGAAAGAGAGCAGGCAUCUGUAGUUGACUACACCUGGGACCGAAGGGAUGGUGGGAAUAGAGCCCAGAGAGGGGCAGGGGCUGCACAAGGCAGGGCUCAGACCCCAGACCACAGAGCAUGGAUUGUGUCCUGGGAGGGGGAGACCUUGAGAAGAUUUAAACAAGGGGAGAAUGGGAUCUAUAGCAUACUCUAGAAAGAUCCCUCAGCAGCAAUGAGAUUCAGUUUUAUACCCACAAAAUUGGUAAAAAUGUCAGUUUGACACUGCCAAGUGUUGGCAAGGAAAUGGAGCAACUGAAAUUCCCACACCCUGCUGGUGGGAACAUACAUUGGAACAGCCAAUUUGGAAAAUCCUUCUAAGGCUUAUGCCCCGAGGGAAACCCUCACACGUGGGAAUAGGGACAAGAACACUCAUUGCUGCACUGUUUAUGGUAGCAACAGACAGGAGUGACCGAAAUGUCCAUCUUAAGGAGAAUGAGCAAAUACCUUGUGUUACAGCUGCACAGGGGACUAUGACACUGCAGUGAGAACGAAGAAACCGACUCCAUACGUGAGCAUGGAGGAGCAGCCCCAGCAUGGCAGUGAGCAGCACAAACCAGUCAUUGAAAGCAUCAUUGUGACACCAUUUAUUGAAAACGUACACACAUGCAGAAUAAUGCGUUAAGGAUUUAUACAUAUAGAGUAAAAGUAUAACAACAUGCAUGGGAAAGAAGAGACAGAGUGCAGGGCGUGAGCCUGGAGGCUGGGAGGCCCAGGAGGAGGCUGGCACAAAGGAGAGGGGACAGGCCAUGCAGUCCAAGGUGAGGAAGCAGU
Molecule: long non-coding RNA, 2066 nt
Filed under: Homo sapiens (human)
Lineage: Eukaryota; Metazoa; Chordata; Mammalia; Primates; Hominidae
Description: long non-coding RNA NONHSAT194443.1
Source: RNAcentral